RNAcentral lists this non-coding RNA (45 nucleotides) under Schistosoma curassoni. Lineage: Eukaryota; Metazoa; Platyhelminthes; Trematoda; Strigeidida; Schistosomatidae. The record is from RNAcentral.
AUCCAGAUGACGAGUCCCAGAUGGGACGAAACGCGCGGUCUAGAU